Long non-coding RNA from Mustela erminea (ermine), 235 nucleotides. RefSeq lists it as uncharacterized. The record is from RefSeq and is a predicted model, not a curated record. NCBI's taxonomy places the organism in Eukaryota, Metazoa, Chordata, Mammalia, Carnivora, Mustelidae. The transcript is spliced from 2 exons.
UACUAAGCAUCAAAUGCGUUUUACAUUGGUAACUGCAGUACUGAAAUUGUGAUAUUUUAAAUAUUUUUUUCAAAAGAGGUUAGUGAUUUUCUAGGAAAUAUGAAGAUCCAACUAUGAACAGAAAUGUAGCCAGUCUGGGUCACUACGAUUUAGUUAAUGCUUAUCUUAACAGGUGUUCAUGUUUCCUGUCUACAAUAAAGUAGACUAUGAACUUCUUGUCUCUUUGAAUUUUAGC